Molecule: ribosomal RNA, 537 nt
Filed under: Triticum aestivum (bread wheat)
Lineage: Eukaryota; Viridiplantae; Streptophyta; Magnoliopsida; Poales; Poaceae
Description: partial small subunit ribosomal RNA
Source: RNAcentral
AUGAACUAUCCGGUGAAAUACAUUUUGCUUGAGACACCAAUAGUGCACAGAGAUAUAACAAGCAACAACAUUUUGCUUGAUCUGGAAUUUAGAGCUUGCAUAUCUGACUUCGGUACAGCUAAAAUACUCAAUAUUGAUGGCCAAAAUAUCACAAGGCAUGCUGGGACUAAAGGCUACAUUGCCCCGGAGCUAGCAUAUACAGAGAAUGUGACGGAAAAAUGUGACGUAUACAGCUUUGGAGUACUUGUUCUGGAGGUAUUCAUGGGAAUUCAUCCAGGCGAUUUGAUCUCAUCCCUCCCGUUGACCAGCAAGAAUAAUGAUGUGUGCCUACGGGGUCUGCUGGACUCCAGGCUCGUGAUCCCUGAUGCUGAAACCGCAGGAGAAAUAUACAAAGUGCUCAGUGUUGGUGUACAGUGCUUGGAUCCUAACCCCACACGCAGACCAACGGCACUACGUGCCAGUGAAGACCUUGGGAGCAAAACAUGUGAAGAUAAUAUUGAUUAUCUGGACGCUGUUCUCACAAUUCCUCCCCAGUAG